GAUGAACGCUGGCGGCGUGCCUAAUACAUGCAAGUCGAGCGAACAGAUGAUGAGCUUUCUCCUCUAACGUUAGCGGCUGACGGGUGAGUAACACGUGGAUAACCUACCUCUAAUUCUGGGAUAACUUCGGGAAACCGGUGCUAAUACCGCCUAAUAUAUUGAACCGCAUGGUUCAAUAGUGAAAGACGGUUUUGCUGUCACUUAUAGAUGGAUCCGCGCCGCAUUAGCUAGUUGGUAAGGUAACGGCUUACCAAGGCAACGAUGCGUAGCCGAACUGAGAGGGUGAUCAGCCACACUGGAACUGAGACACGGUCCAGACUCCUACGGGAGGCAGCAGUAGGGAAUCUUCGACAAUGGGCGAAAGCCUGACGGAGCCACGCCGCGUGAGUGAUGAAGGUCUUCGGAUCGUAAAGCUCUGUUAUUAGGGAAGAACAAAUGUGUAAGUAACUAUGCACGUCUUGACGGUACCCAAACAGAAAGCCACGGCUAACUACGUG
RNAcentral lists this ribosomal RNA (497 nucleotides) under uncultured bacterium. RNAcentral describes it as "partial 16S ribosomal RNA". It matches the Rfam family "Bacterial small subunit ribosomal RNA", at positions 28 to 507 of the family's 1533-position model. The record is from RNAcentral.